This 839-nucleotide long non-coding RNA is filed under the name Homo sapiens (human). RNAcentral's name for it is "HSALNT0291211". The record is from RNAcentral. Lineage: Eukaryota; Metazoa; Chordata; Mammalia; Primates; Hominidae.
CUGUUGGAAGGGAAGAGAAGAGAAGUGGAACCAGAACCAGAGAGGAUGGGCUAAUUGGCCAGGUCCUUGGAGGUCAGGUACCUUGAACCUUUCCAAGAUUCUCUCUCUUUCUCUCUCUCUGUCUCACACACACACACACAUACCAGCUCUCACUGAAAUUAAACUAUAACUGAAGACAUCACACACACACACACACACACACACCAGCUGUCACUAAAAUUAAACUAUAACUGAAGACAUCACACACACACACACCAGCUCUCACUGAAAUUAAACUAUAACUGAAGACAUCACACACACACACACCAGCUCUCACUGAAAUUAAACUAUAACUGAAGACAUCACACACACACACACACACCAGCUCUCACUGAGAUUAAGCUAUAACUGAAGACAUCACACACACACACACACACACACACACCAGCUCUCACUGAAAUUAAACUAUAACUGAAGACAUCACACACACACACACCAGCUCUCACUGAAAUUAAGCUAUACUGAAGACAACACACACACACACACACACCAGCUCUCACUGAAAUUAAGCUAUAACUGAAGACAUCACACACACACACACACAUACCAGCUCUCACUGAAAUUAAACUAUAACUGAAGACAUCACACACACACACACACACACACACCAGCUGUCACUAAAAUUAAACUAUAACUGAAGGCAUCACACACACACACACACACAUACCAGCUCUCACUGAAAUUGAAGCCAAACUAUAACUGAAGAUAUCACACACACACACACACACACCAGCUCUCACUGAAAUUAAGCUAUAACUGAAGACAUCACACACACACACACACACACACACACACACACC